AAGGUAGCAUAAUCAUUUGCCUUUUAAUUAAAGGCUAGUAUGAAUGGACACACGUAAGCUAAGCUGUCUCAUUAACAACCAUAAAAAUUAACCUUUGGGUGAAGAGACCCAAAUUAUAUAAAAAGACGAAAAGACCCUAUGGAGCUUUACUUAAAUAGAAAACCUAAUAAAUUACAUAAAAAAAAACUUCUUUAUAAAGUUUAGUUGGGGCGACUAAGGAGCACAAAAAAUCCUCCUUUUAAUAAAAGAAAAUAACUCUUCUACAGAUCCACCUAAGUGAAUAUAAAACCAGCUACCCUAGGGAUAACAGGCUAAUCCUCCUCGAGAGCCCAAAUUGACAGGAGGGGUUGGCACCUCGAUGUUGGCUUAAGGUUCCUUCAAAGUGCAGCAGCUUUGAGAGUAGGUUUGUUCACCCUUUAAAACCUUACGUGAUCUGA
This 437-nucleotide ribosomal RNA is filed under the name Prionospio sp. NHM 471. Its description in RNAcentral is "partial large subunit ribosomal RNA". It matches the Rfam family "Bacterial large subunit ribosomal RNA", at positions 1953 to 2608 of the family's 2925-position model. Lineage: Eukaryota; Metazoa; Annelida; Polychaeta; Spionida; Spionidae. The record is from RNAcentral.